CUCUGCUGUAGACGUCCGGGUAGUGGGACUUCUCAAAGGCCCGCUCCAGCUCAUGGAGCUGGAAGGUGGUGAAGGUGGUCCGGUUUCUGCGGUGUUUCUUCUUCUGGUUCUCGUCGUCGGACAGCCUGCCAUCUCUGUCCGUGUCCUUCCCGCUGUGCUCUGAGUCUUUUAUGGUCUCGGUGUAAGGCGCUGACUUGUGGAAGAUGGUGUCCUCCUUGAAGCCCAGGAUAGCCUCGAUGCUGUGGACGGUGGCCGGGUUGUUCCCCGGGCUCUGCGCGGAGCGGACGGAGGGCGAGGUGCGCUCUUCCAUCAUCAUCAUCAUUUGGGAAGGAGAUCCUAGCAGCCACAUCAGUCAGCUAAAGUCCAAAACUCAGUGACCGUGGCAGAGGCUUUUUCCUUCAGCUGGUCCAUGUCCAUGUUCUGCAAGUUUUGAAACUGGCCCAUUAGCGAGUCCUUGCCCUCCUCCUCCGUAGCAUCCUCAUCCACCAUCUUGAGCAGCUCCUC
Cyprinodon variegatus (sheepshead minnow) is the source of this 504-nucleotide long non-coding RNA. RefSeq lists it as uncharacterized. The record is from RefSeq and is a predicted model, not a curated record. The transcript has 3 exons. Lineage: Eukaryota; Metazoa; Chordata; Actinopteri; Cyprinodontiformes; Cyprinodontidae.